Labrus mixtus (cuckoo wrasse) is the source of this 351-nucleotide long non-coding RNA. RefSeq lists it as uncharacterized. The record is from RefSeq and is a predicted model, not a curated record. NCBI's taxonomy places the organism in Eukaryota, Metazoa, Chordata, Actinopteri, Labriformes, Labridae. The transcript is spliced from 3 exons.
CACAGCGCAGCAGAGGGGACAGAGAGACAGACAGGUGUUAGUGACACCUGUGAUCAUCACACAGACAGCAGAGACAUCAGGCUGUGUGUAGAUCUGAGGUGUCAGUGUGACAGGUAACAGGUAAGAGAGAAAACAGGUAACAAGAAAUAGAGAGAACAGGUACAGGUAACAGAGAGAGAACAGGUACAGAGUACCUCUACAGAGUUACCUGUAGAAGUGUGUUAUGACUCUGUGUUACCUGUAGAGGUGUAUUGUGACUCUGUGUUACCUGUAGAGGUGUGUUAUGACUCAGUGUUACCUGUAGAGGUGUGUUAUGACUAUGUUACCUGUAGAGGUGUAUUGUGACUCUGU